AUGAUCGGAUGGGGCGACGUGUACAAGGUGGUGGCCGCCAUGGCGCCGCUCUACUUCGCCCUGGGCCUCGGCUACGGCUCGGUGCGGUGGUGGAAGCUCUUCACGCCGGACCAGUGCGACGCCGUGAACCGCCUCGUGGCCUACUUCGCGGUGCCCUUCUUCGCCUUCGACUUCGCCGCGCGCAUGGACCCCUACGCGCUCAACUACCGCGUCCUCGCCGCCGACGCGCUCUCCAAGCUCGCCGUCGCGCUGGCGCUCGCCGCCUGGGCCGCCGCGUCCACGCGCUGCUGCCGCGCCGGCGCCAAGCGCGGCGGGGAGCUGGCCUCCUCGUGGUGCAUCACCGGCUUCUCGCUGGCGACGCUGAACAACACGCUCGUGGUGGGCGUGCCGCUGCUGGACGCCAUGUACGGCGGGUGGGCGCGAGACCUCGUCGUGCAGAUAUCGGUGGUGCAGAUCAUCGUCUACUUUCCGCUGCUGCUGCUGGCGUUCGAGGCGAGGCGUGCGUGCGGUGGUGGCGCAGGGAAGCCUGACGCGGCGGUGGCGGUUUCAGCGAGCGACGACGACGUGGAGGACGGCGGCGCGGAGGGGAGGAGGCGGCGCGAGCCGGUAUGGCCGUUGGUGAGAGCGGUCUGGCUCAAGGUGGCACGGAAUCCCAACGUUUACGCGGGCGUCCUCGGGGUCGCCUGGUCUUGCGUCACAAACAGGUGGCACAUCGUGACGCCGAGCAUCAUCGAAGGCUCGGUGCUGAUCAUGUCCAGGACCGGCGUCGGGCUCGCCAUGUUCAGCAUGGGCCUGUUCAUGGCGCUGCAGGAGAAGAUCAUCGUCUGCGGGGCCGGCCUGACCGCGCUGGGCAUGGCGCUGCGGUUCGUCGCCGGCCCGGCAGCCACCGCCGCCGGAGCCGUCGCCCUGGGGCUCCGCGGUGACGUCCUGCGCCUCGCCAUCAUACAGGCUGCGCUCCCCCAGUCCAUCACCACGUUUGUGUUCGCCAAGGAGUACGGCCUGCACGCCGAUGUGCUCAGCACCGCGGUUAUAUUCGGGACGCUGGCGUCGUUGCCCGUGUUGAUCGUGUACUACAUCGUUCUAGGCUUCGUUGGAUAG
Molecule: ribosomal RNA, 1098 nt
Filed under: Triticum aestivum (bread wheat)
Lineage: Eukaryota; Viridiplantae; Streptophyta; Magnoliopsida; Poales; Poaceae
Description: partial small subunit ribosomal RNA
Source: RNAcentral